Molecule: ribosomal RNA, 66 nt
Filed under: uncultured Cortinarius
Lineage: Eukaryota; Fungi; Basidiomycota; Agaricomycetes; Agaricales; Cortinariaceae
Description: partial 28S ribosomal RNA
Rfam family: Eukaryotic large subunit ribosomal RNA
Source: RNAcentral
GUGACCUCAAAUCAGGUAGGACUACCCGCUGAACUAAGCAUAUCAUAAGCGGAGGAAAAGAAACUA